Molecule: microRNA, 21 nt
Filed under: Pan troglodytes (chimpanzee)
Lineage: Eukaryota; Metazoa; Chordata; Mammalia; Primates; Hominidae
Also listed under: 1 other name
Description: ptr-miR-520b
Gene: ptr-miR-520b
Source: miRBase by way of RNAcentral
AAAGUGCUUCCUUUUAGAGGG